UACGUAGGUGGCGAGCGUUGUCCGGAUUUACUGGGCGUAAAGAGCGCGCAGGCGGUCGUACAAGUCGCGUGUGAAAGCCCCCGGCUCAACUGGGGAGGGUCACGCGAUACUGUUCGACUCGAAGGCAGGAGAGGGAAGUGGAAUUCCCAGUGUAGUGGUGAAAUGCGUAGAUAUCGGGAGGAACACCAGUGGCGAAGGCGACUUCCUGGCCUGUUCUUGACGCUGAGGCGCGAAAGCUAGGGUAGCAAACGGG
Molecule: ribosomal RNA, 253 nt
Filed under: uncultured bacterium
Lineage: Bacteria
Description: partial 16S ribosomal RNA
Rfam family: Bacterial small subunit ribosomal RNA
Source: RNAcentral